CCUUAGAGUUUGAUCCUGGCUCAGGAUGAACGCUGGCGGCGUGCCUAACACAUGCAAGUCGAGCGAUUCUCUUCAGAGAAGAGCGGCGGACGGGUGAGUAACGCGUGGGUAACCUGCCCUGUACACACGGAUAACAUACCGAAAGGUAUGCUAAUACGAGAUAAUAUACUUUUAUCGCAUGGUAGAAGUAUCAAAGCUUUUGCGGUACAGGAUGGACCCGCGUCUGAUUAGCUAGUUGGUAAGGUAACGGCUUACCAAGGCGACGAUCAGUAGCCGACCUGAGAGGGUGAUCGGCCACAUUGGAACUGAGACACGGUCCAAACUCCUACGGGAGGCAGCAGUGGGGAAUAUUGCACAAUGGGCGAAGGCCUGAUGCAGCAACGCCGCGUGAGCGAUGAAGGCCUUCGGGUCGUAAAGCUCUGUCCUCAAGGAAGAUAAUGACGGUACUUGAGGAGGAAGCCCCGGCUAACUACGUGCCAGCAGCCGCGGUAAUACGUAGGGGGCUAGCGUUAUCCGGAAUUACUGGGCGUAAAGGGUGCGUAGGUGGUUUCUUAAGUCAGAGGUGAAAGGCUACGGCUCAACCGUAGUAAGCCUUUGAAACUGGGAAACUUGAGUGCAGGAGAGGAGAGUGGAAUUCCUAGUGUAGCGGUGAAAUGCGUAGAUAUUAGGAGGAACACCAGUUGCGAAGGCGGCUCUCUGGACUGUAACUGACACUGAGGCACGAAAGCGUGGGGAGCAAACAGGAUUAGAUACCCUGGUAGUCCACGCCGUAAACGAUGAGUACUAGCUGUCGGAGGUUACCCCCUUCGGUGGCGCAGCUA
RNAcentral lists this ribosomal RNA (821 nucleotides) under uncultured bacterium. RNAcentral describes it as "bacterial SSU rRNA". It matches the Rfam family "Bacterial small subunit ribosomal RNA", at positions 1 to 854 of the family's 1533-position model. The record is from RNAcentral.